CCCUUUGCUGCAUCGAUACAGACUCACGGAAAGGGCUCAGUAAGCGUGUACUCCAACCCGCACGCCCUUUGAAAUUCAACAUCGGGACAACCCUAAGCCCUUACAGAUUUCACAAGAACGGACACCAA
Molecule: long non-coding RNA, 128 nt
Organism: Etheostoma spectabile (orangethroat darter)
Lineage: Eukaryota; Metazoa; Chordata; Actinopteri; Perciformes; Percidae
Exons: 3
Source: RefSeq, a predicted model, not a curated record